This 479-nucleotide ribosomal RNA is filed under the name uncultured bacterium. RNAcentral's name for it is "partial 16S ribosomal RNA". It matches the Rfam family "Bacterial small subunit ribosomal RNA", at positions 28 to 507 of the family's 1533-position model. The record is from RNAcentral.
GAUGAACGCUAGCGGGAGGCCUAACACAUGCAAGCCGAGCGGUAGAGUUUCUUCGGAAACUUGAGAGCGGCGCACGGGUGCGUAACACGUGUGCAACCUACCUUUAUCUGGGGGAUAGCCUUUCGAAAGGAAGAUUAAUACCCCAUAAUAUAAUGAUUGGCAUCAAUUAUUAUUGAAAACUCCGGUGGAUAGAGAUGGGCGCGCGCAAGAUUAGAUAGUUGGUGAGGUAACGGCUCACCAAGUCAAUGAUCUUUAGGGGUCCUGAGAGGGAGAUCCCCCACACUGGUACUGAGACACGGACCAGACUCCUACGGGAGGCAGCAGUGAGGAAUAUUGGACAAUGGGUGAGAGCCUGAUCCAGCCAUCCCGCGUGAAGGAUGACGGUCCUAUGGAUUGUAAACUUCUUUUGUACAGGGAUAAACCUACCCUCGUGAGGGUAGCUGAAGGUACUGUACGAAUAAGCACCGGCUAACUCCGUG